Molecule: long non-coding RNA, 2653 nt
Organism: Stegastes partitus (bicolor damselfish)
Lineage: Eukaryota; Metazoa; Chordata; Actinopteri; Pomacentridae
Exons: 2
Source: RefSeq, a predicted model, not a curated record
UGGAGGUGUGCCGUGGUGUUGGGUUCCCCAAAGUGUUCGUCACUCGGUCGUGUGUUCUCGCAGAGCUUUGCUUCGGCCCAAAGUCUAUUUUUUCAUAGAAGUAUAUACAUGAGAAUCUGUUUAUUUUGCAGAGAAGGAAGGUUUGUUGUAUGUGUUCGGGUAGAAAGAUGAGAUCAUUUACGCCAAAAACAAGGUUUUAUCGACGACGAGAGAGAUGAAAAAAAGCUACGGAUUUUAUUUGCAUUUUGAUCUGCAAAAGAAAAACUACAAAUUUCAACACAGAAUCCUUCUCUUGAGCCGAUAACCGAGCUCCGGCCGGGCGGUUAGAAACCCGGUUAUACUGCUCGGUGGUCUCAGUGGAUCGCCGUGUGCGCCGAAGCGAAGGACGAGGAGGCGAGACGACGGUUAAAUAUAUCCUGAUUUAUGUUCUUUGUGUUCUUUCUCCCUGUGACGACUGUGUGGACGUUUAGUUGUAGCUUCUCCGUCCAACAGACCAGCGGAGCAGCUUCACCCUCAAGUGACGUGAGAAUAAAAAAAGCAGAAAUAUAAGAAAGUUGAUGAUGACAAACAGAAAUAUUUAGGAAUUCAUUUCCAUUUAGGCCAAUAACAUCCUGAGCAACAGCUUCAGAGCACUGACGGAAACCUGUCGUACACAUGAAGCUUCUCAUUUGGAGUUAAAAUUAAUAUAAAAUAAUGUACUGGAACAUUUCUACAGUUCUAAUGCAAAUGUAAUUUACUGAAAGUAUAUUUCUAACAUCCAGACAGCGUCCCUUAAAGACAUUUAUUAUCUCGAUCCUACAAGAUUAUUAUUGUGAACAAAAGAAUAAAAAAAGAUUUUGGGGACUUUUGGGUUUCCGUACGUUUGGGCUACAACCACAUCAAUUAGUAAAUAAAUUAUAUAAAUAUGUAUAAACGUGAUCGAGGAGACGCUAAACUACCGUAACAUCAUUCAAAAUGUGAUGUUCGUGGUGUCAGAUCUAAACCAAAUGUUCAAAUAUGAAGCUGGUUUCUUGCUAAAAAUCCUGUUCUAUUCAUUAGUUUUAAAUAAAAUAGUAUUUAAUGCAAUUCUAAAAGUUUGGUAUUUUGGGGAAAGUUAUGAAACUUUUCUGUUGGAGAGUUUGAAAAUAAACAUGGUGCAACUCCCCAAUCUGUUAGCUAAGAAGCUAGCUCCUGAGCUGAUUAGCUUAGCUUUGGAAUUAGCUUAGAAAUCACUUGCUUGGCUCAAAAUUAUAACUAGCAGCUCCUAAAGAAGGCUCGUUAAAUUUAAUUAAUUAGAAAAAACGAACCAAAAAAACCCCAGAAAAAUUCUAAACGGCAACAUUUUUGUCAAUAACUUCGAGUCAAAUAAAUCCAGGAUGAGUUUUUAUUCCACGUUUGUUCUGAUCAAACGAUAAAGAAGCAGCACGUGAUGCGACGCUAGCAGUUUCCCCCCGUUUCCAUCCUUUAUGCUAAGCUACGCUAAUCGCCCCGGGCUCCAUAGCUGCACACAGACUCCUUUUAUCCAAGUUUAUCAGUUAUUUGUAAAAGAUCAAGCUGGUAAACCCACAUUUUGCUGCUUUGUGGAUUCUCUCAGAUCUGAUCCCGGUCGGUCACUUGAGGGCGAAGCGUCGCUCGGCGGUAAACACGGAACACGUUGUCGUGAUGUACAAAGCUAAUCUGACAUCAUCUCGAUAAUCCCUCCGACGAACAUCCGACAUGAUUCGGCUGCUUCCAGGAGGAGGAGACGACGAAACCGGACGCGUUACUUUGGCUGUUACAGCCGCCGAUGUAAUAACGACGGUAACCGUGGUGAUGUUCAUCGUUGUGGUUUCUUUGUGUUUUCUUUUUUUUUUUUUUUUUCCUCUUUGGGUUCUCUGUAAUAGAUAAAUGUGACGCUGCGGUGUGUUUUUGAACUGGGAUGGAAAAGAGAACAAAAACAAAAGUGAAGGAGCUUGUGUUAGAGGGCAGGAUGAUGGUGGUGAUGUUCACAGGGAAAGGCUGCCUCCGCUUACCGAAGCCUGCCGGAGUCGCUGCUGCAGCGACCGACGCCGUCACCACGGGGGUUUUAGAACCAGAACGGGGACGAUCUGUCCACAGCUGUAAGAAAAGACAAACGAAGACUUUGCUUUAUGACGCUGGGGGACACUGAAAACGCUCGGACGCACACAAAUGAGCUAGCAUGCACGUUUAGCGCACGUUUUAUCGAGCUAUUGCAACAGCAGGUGCGACCCGACCCGCACUGGGCAUCGUUUGAACUAAAAACAGAAGCACGAAGGCCAGAAGAAGCUAAAAGUAGGCGACACAUGAAACCUGCAGCUGUUCUCAGGAGCAGAUUUGGUUCAAACUGCUGCUCUUCUUGGGUAAUAACAGAUUUUUAGGACGCAGCAUUUGCAAACUGUCACUGACGAUGACGUUAGCUUGAGUCACGCAAACUCACAAUCCGAAGCUCAGUUUAGCAGCAUUUCCAAACAUGGUUCUCCUGCAGAUCCAGGUGCAUCCUGAGCGUCGCGUUCGUCGCCCUCGAACUCGCUGCAGCGUCGACGCUCCUCGCAGGCUUCGGCUUCGAGCGGUGGCUGUGACUCCAGUGCAGUAGUUCAGUGCCUAUACUAAAUGUGAGGUAGUGCCUCGACUAUGAAUCCUGUUCUAUAAUAAACUAUUUUGACUUGCUGUCUGA